Molecule: long non-coding RNA, 434 nt
Organism: Pezoporus flaviventris
Lineage: Eukaryota; Metazoa; Chordata; Aves; Psittaciformes; Psittacidae
Exons: 3
Source: RefSeq, a predicted model, not a curated record
CCCUGACAUUACCUUAAUGUCUUCCAGCAGAACUCCAUUAUCUCUGUUUAAGUUUUCAGCCUGCUUGAUUUGUCCCGUUGCCUCAUUCAGAGCUUCACGAAGGUCACUACAUCCAUGCCAGUCACCAAAGCUUCCUUUGUAACCACUGGAGAGAUAAGGGUAUGUUCAAUCUCAAAGAAGUUAGAAACAUAAAAGAGGUCAAAUGAAUCACACUCUUAAGAGUGCCUAUUUCACUGCCGACAAGACAGGGUACAGAAGAGUUUCUCUGAGGGAAUGACAUGGAAACAACAACUGUCCUCUAACAGGUGAAGCCCAGUGCUGUCAGCAUCUGGUAUUUGGAAUCAAGUGUUAACGUAUGUUUCCUUGCAAGGUGACAAAAAGACGAAGUUUCUAGGUUCGGCUCUUAUCAGCUUAAUCUGAAAUCUGCUUUUCUG